AGAGUUUGAUCAUGGCUCAGGAUGAACGCUGGCGGUAUGCUUAACACAUGCAAGUCGAACGGAGUACUUCGGUACUUAGUGGCGGACGGGUGAGUAACGCGUGAGAAUCUGCCUUCAGGUUCGGGACAACCAUUGGAAACGGUGGCUAAUACCGAAUGUGCAGAGAUGUGAAAUAUUAAUAGCCUGAAGAUGAGCUCGCGUCUGAUUAGCUAGUAGGUGUGGUAAUAGCGCACCUAGGCGACGAUCAGUAGCUGGUCUGAGAGGAUGAUCAGCCACACUGGGACUGAGACACGGCCCAGACUCCUACGGGAGGCAGCAGUGGGGAAUUUUCCGCAAUGGGCGAAAGCCUGACGGAGCAAUACCGCGUGAGGGAGGAAGGCUCUUGGGUUGUAAACCUCUUUUCUCAGGGAAGAAAAAAAUGACGGUACCUGAGGAAUAAGCAUCGGCUAACUCCGUGCCAGCAGCCGCGGUAAUACGGAGGAUGCAAGCGUUAUCCGGAAUGAUUGGGCGUAAAGCGUCCGCAGGUGGCGAUGUAAGUCUGCUGUUAAAUAGUGAGGCUCAACCUCAUAAAGGCAGUGGAAACUACAUUGCUAGAGUGCGUUCGGGGCAGAGGGAAUUCCUGGUGUAGCGGUGAAAUGCGUAGAGAUCAGGAAGAACACCGGUGGCGAAAGCGCUCUGCUAGGCCGCAACUGACACUGAGGGACGAAAGCUAGGGGAGCGAAUGGGAUUAGAUACCCCAGUAGUCC
This 746-nucleotide ribosomal RNA is filed under the name uncultured bacterium. RNAcentral describes it as "bacterial SSU rRNA". It matches the Rfam family "Bacterial small subunit ribosomal RNA", at positions 8 to 796 of the family's 1533-position model. The record is from RNAcentral.